GGUGGUGAUGCUGGUGCUGGUGCUGAUGCUGAUGCUGACUUCUCCGGCUUGUUUCUGCUGGGCGUUCAGGGAGGUGUGUCGGUCUCCUCGCCGCAGAGGAGGAUUUCAGUAAAGAGGUCGUGGAUUCAGAUUUUGGAAAAGAGGAGCUCAUUGUUGCGGAUCUGGUCUAUUCUGUCUCGGGCCAGAGGAAACUGCUGUGGGGCCUUGGGGCGAAACUGAGCCAUGGGUCCCUAUUGAGACCCCCAUCACAAACCAACCAGCAAUUCCACACUGAGAUGACUCCUGCACCAGGCUUGCUGGGCACUGAGGAACCCAUCAGCUACACCUAGAGGUCCCUGGACUCUACCACAGCUAAUUAUUUCACUGCCUCAUCAUAUUAUUACAUCUCUAUGCCCAUGCACGUCUUAUUUAAAUUCUAUAAGUUAGUGAUGUUAGUGCAUAUUGCUCAAAUGAUAAUCCUUGUGCAUACACAUGCUACAGUAUCCUAUUACUACACUGAGCAGUAUUGUAACAAUAACUACUUAAGCUUGAUUUAAUAAUUCAAGAGCUGUGACACUGAAACAUAACAAUCCUGUGCCCAUAAACAUGCAGCUUAUGAAUACAAGCACUGAGGGCUUUCUAAAUAAAUGAUCCGUGUUAUUAUUGGCAUCCACCUCACAUCAGCACGUGCCUCCAUUCACCAAAGCUACAGGGCUCCAGAUGUAGCAACACCUGUGCACCUUUAGAGAAACUCCAAUGUGAUCAGAAGGGGCGAGGCUUUUCCCAGUGGGGGAUAUUGACUUCUUUUUUAGACUGUGGAUGCAGAUGUAAGGCUAAAUAUCAACCCCUGUAAAUAUUUUUUAUGGACCCAAAAUGUAUGAGUAAUGUAGACACUUCUGUUUUGAAUUGAACAUGAUGUUUAUUAUUGCCUCAGCAUUUUAGUGCUUCUGGCUUCAUGUCCUCCAGAGGCAGGGCAGGUCUGACAAGAAAUAACCGCUGAGGAAACAGAGCAAUGACAACUGCCUUUAAAAAACUGCAUCUGGCUGGAAAGAGGCAACGCAAUCUAUUUUGUCCCCUUGCUUUAUAUCGCAGAGUCAAUUAUCAAUACCGGAGUGGCAGUUCUGCAGACAACAGAACUGCAUGCAGACGACUGCAUUCUUCUCUGAACCAUUCAGUUUGUUUUAAUCAGUAUUU
Long non-coding RNA from Sander lucioperca (pikeperch), 1173 nucleotides. RefSeq lists it as uncharacterized. The transcript has 3 exons. NCBI's taxonomy places the organism in Eukaryota, Metazoa, Chordata, Actinopteri, Perciformes, Percidae. The record is from RefSeq and is a predicted model, not a curated record.